CCCGACUGCUAUUUGGGUGAGGAUAAGCCAUGCGAGUUGGAUGGGAUACCUAAACUUCCCAUAGCAAACUGCUUAGUAACACAUGAUCAACUUGCCCUAUGGAGAAAAAUAACCUCGGGAAACUGAGGAUAAUGUUUCAUAGUUGAAUAGGCUUGGAAAAGUUUUUCAAUGAAAGGAAUAAGAUAAAUGGAUCUUAUUUGCCAUAGGAUAGGAUCGUGGUCGAUUAUGGUAGUUGGUGAGAUAACGGCUCACCAAGCCGAUAAUCGAUAGGGGCCGUGAGAGCGGGAGCCCCAAGAUGGGUACUGAGACAGCGACCCAGGCCUUACGAGGCGCAGCAGGCGCGAGACCUCCGCAAUACACGAAAGUGUGACGGGGUUACCCAAAGUGUUCUCUUAAGAACUGUGGCAGGUGAGUAAUGUCCCCUGCUAGAAAGGAGAGGGCAAGGCUGGUGCCAGCCGCCGCGGUAAAACCAGCUCUUCAAGUGGUCGGGAUAAUUAUUGGGCUUAAAGUGUCCGUAGCCGGUUUAGUAAGUUCCUGGUAAAAUCGGGUAGCUUAACUAUCUGCAUGCUAGGAAUACUGCUAUACUAGAGGGCGGGAGAGGUCUGAGGUACUACAGGGGUAGGGGUGAAAUCUUAUAAUCCUUGUAGGACCACCAGUGGCGAAGGCGUCAGACUGGAACGCGCCUGACGGUGAGGGACGAAAGCCAGGGGAGCGAACCGGAUUAGAUACGUCGGUGCUAGAAUAAUAAAAUAACUAACACCAUGCUAAAAACCCGGGUAGUCCUGGCCGUAAACGAUGCAUACUAGGUGAUGGUACGGCCAUGAGCCGUAUCAGUGCCGUAGGGAAACCGUUAAGUGUGCCGCCUGGGAAGUACGGUCGCAAGGCUAAAACUUAAAGGAAUUGGCGGGGGAGCACCACAAGGGGUGAAGCCUGCGGUUCAAUUGGACUCAACGCCGGGAAACUUACCAGGGGAGACAGUAGAAUGAGGGUCAGGUUGACGACCUUACCUGAUGAGCUGAGAGGAGGUGCAUGGCCGUCGCCAGUUCGUGCCGUGAGGUAUCCUGUUAAGUCAGGCAACGAACGAGAUCCGCGCCUUUAUUUGCCAACAAGAAG
This 1113-nucleotide ribosomal RNA is filed under the name uncultured archaeon. RNAcentral's name for it is "bacterial SSU rRNA". It matches the Rfam family "Archaeal small subunit ribosomal RNA", at positions 21 to 1077 of the family's 1478-position model. The record is from RNAcentral.